RNAcentral lists this ribosomal RNA (575 nucleotides) under uncultured bacterium. RNAcentral's name for it is "bacterial SSU rRNA". It matches the Rfam family "Bacterial small subunit ribosomal RNA", at positions 102 to 694 of the family's 1533-position model. The record is from RNAcentral.
ACGGGUGAGUAACACGUGAGGAACCUGCCCCGAAGACUGGGAUAACGCUCCGAAAGGAACGCUAGUACCGGAUACCUUCACCAGACCGCAUGAUCCGGUGAAGAAAUGGAUUCCGCUUCGGGAGGGCCUCGCGGCCUAUCAGCUUGUUGCUGGGGUAAUGGCCCACCAAGGCUUCGACGGGUAGCUGGUCUGAGAGGACGAUCAGCCACACUGGGACUGAGACACGGCCCAGACUCCUACGGGAGGCAGCAGUGGGGAAUCUUGCGCAAUGGGCGAAAGCCUGACGCAGCAACGCCGCGUGGGGGAUGAAGGCUCUCGGGUCGUAAACCCCUUUCAGCAGGGACGAAUCUGACGGUACCUGCAGAAGAAGCCCCGGCCAACUACGUGCCAGCAGCCGCGGUAACACGUAGGGGGCAAGCGUUGUCCGGAUUUAUUGGGCGUAAAGAGCUCGUAGGUGGUUCGGUAAGUCAGGUGUGAAACCUCCAGGCUCAACCUGGAGACGCCACUUGAUACUGCUGUGACUGGAGUCCGGUAGGGGAGCGUGGAAUUCCUGGUGUAGCGGUGAAAUGCGCAGA